UCAUCCGGUCUUUCACUACAAAAGACACGGCGUGGCAGCUUCACAAAUCUGCCGGGGAGAAUUAUGUCUCUCAUUAUAAAACUAAGUUGUCUUUGGCAGCCGCACAGCAAACACCAUGCAUCCGUCAUGAAAUGACUCGAUACCUUUGUAAAAGAGGUUCUGAUGGCACCACCAGGCCGACUGACUAGUUGAUCUGGUCUGAGGCGGCUGUAGGAAGUACUCCCAUGAUAUCAGAGGCUGCCAUUAUGUCGUCAGGAGUCGGGUGCCCAGUGCUGCAGUUUGGUGUCCGUCUGACCAUGUGACCUGCAGUGAACCGCCCUCCACCCCAUCCCUCGGGCUCAAUGCUUCAGUCUGUUUGGUCAAUAUGAGACUGUGACCUGCAGUGAUCAACAUUCCUCUGCACUCUGGUUCCAUAGAUGGGAGGGGCUGCCCAUCCUGUGGUUUCUCUGGAGUGUUUCAGAAUCAGAAGGGUGCUGACCUACUUCCAACAUGUUGAAGGGGUGCUUACUGCCCACAGCUGGUGUUAUCCAGUAUAUGCGCUAUGUAUCAAACUAAGCAUUGUAUGUGGGCCAAAUCAUUAGCUAAAUCUUGUCAUCAAUUGGGCAAGUUCAAUAGACUAGACUGUUUGUUAUAACCCUGGAAUGUACGCUGAAAUGGGGGGGGUUAGGUCUGUGAUAACACUGAAAUGGUUUCCUGAUCAAUUUGUACAGGCCCUAGUUUUAGCACACCUGGGCUGCAGUCCAAACACUUAAGAUGCCCCCUGUCCCUUCAGCCCUCAUUAAGUGGACACUUCUGAUAACCUAUAAUGCUGCCUGAUGAGUAUACACUUGCAGGGCAAGGAAGGAAUGAUUUUUAAAUGGACUGGUCUGGAAAUCGAUUGCUCUGUCGUCCCGUGAUUGUCUUUUUGGCCACCGGGUAGCUUGUGGGUGAUUUUAUGGGCUACAGUCAAUUAUGAUUGCAUGUCUAAAUAUAUAAUUGUUAAUUUACACGUACUGUAUGUUAGCUAGCAAAUUAGUUAACUACCGUUAGCCUGUCUAGCUGGAACUUCUGACGAUAAAUGUAUUAAUACAAUUUCCAAAAGCUACCCAAAUAUUACUUUACGAGAUGUGUUUGUGCUGUCAUGUGCAUUAGUAGUACAAUUUAGAACUUGUUUACAUUCGUUUUUACUUACACUUGUAAAUUGACAAAUAAAACGGGGGCUUACGUUAAA
Long non-coding RNA from Salvelinus fontinalis (brook trout), 1210 nucleotides. RefSeq lists it as uncharacterized. The transcript is spliced from 5 exons. NCBI's taxonomy places the organism in Eukaryota, Metazoa, Chordata, Actinopteri, Salmoniformes, Salmonidae. The record is from RefSeq and is a predicted model, not a curated record.